This 302-nucleotide ribosomal RNA is filed under the name uncultured bacterium. RNAcentral describes it as "partial 16S ribosomal RNA". It matches the Rfam family "Bacterial small subunit ribosomal RNA", at positions 508 to 807 of the family's 1533-position model. The record is from RNAcentral.
GCAGCCGCCGCGGGAAUACGUAGGGUGCAAGCGUUAAUCGGAAUUACUGGGCGUAAAGCGUGCGCAGGCGGUUAUAUAAGACAGAUGUGAAAUCCCCGGGCUCAACCUGGGAACUGCAUUUGUGACUGUAUAGCUAGAGUACGGCAGAGGGGGAUGGAAUUCCGCGUGUAGCAGUAAAAUGCGUAGAUAUGCGGAGGAACACCGAUGGCGAAGGCAAUCCCCUGGGCCUGUACUGACGCUCAUGCACGAAAGCGUGGGGAGCAAACAGGAUUAGAUACCCCAGUAGUCCCUGUCUCUUAUAC